Molecule: small nucleolar RNA, 76 nt
Filed under: Castor canadensis (American beaver)
Lineage: Eukaryota; Metazoa; Chordata; Mammalia; Rodentia; Castoridae
Description: Small nucleolar RNA SNORD113/SNORD114 family (ENSCCNG00000001383.1)
Rfam family: Small nucleolar RNA SNORD113/SNORD114 family
About the family: The imprinted human domain at 14q32 contains two clusters of tandemly repeated small nucleolar RNAs named 14q(I) and 14q(II) snoRNAs.
Source: Rfam by way of RNAcentral
UGGGCCCUUCUUUGACAACUGCCAGCGUGAGAGUCUUGGUUGAUGAAUAGCACGUGUCUGGAACUCUGAGGUCCAG